ACGUGUUACAAUGGGGGGUACGGAGGGCCGCUACCACGCGAGUGGAUGCCAAUCCCCAAAACCUCUCUCAGUUCGGACUGGAGUCUGCAACCCGACUCCACGAAGCUGGAUUCGCUAGUAAUCGCGCAUCAGCCACGGCGCGGUGAAUACGUUCCCGGGCCUUGUACACACCGCCCGUCAAGCCAUGGGAGCCGGGGGUACCUGAAGUGCGUAACCGCGAGGAGCGCCCUAGGGUAAAACUGGUGACUGGGGCUAAGUCGUAACAAGGUACC
This 272-nucleotide ribosomal RNA is filed under the name uncultured bacterium. Its description in RNAcentral is "partial 16S ribosomal RNA". It matches the Rfam family "Bacterial small subunit ribosomal RNA", at positions 1220 to 1500 of the family's 1533-position model. The record is from RNAcentral.